GCCCAGUGAUAUAUUAAUUCAACGGCCGCGGUACCCUGACCGUGCAAAGGUAGCAUAAUCAUUUGCCCUAUAAUUGAGGGCUAGUAUGAAUGGUUUGACAAGAGUAAUACUGUCUCUAUAAAAAUUUCCUGAAUUUAUUUUUUGGGUGAAGAAUCCUAAAUAAAAUUAAAAGACAAGAAGACCCUAUCGAGCUUAAAAUAUAUUUAUAAAGUAAGAAAAAUUAUAAAAUAUUUUUAGUUAUAAAAAAUUUUGGUUGGGGCGACUAAGGAACAAAUAAAGCUUCUUAUAUUUUUAAAAAUUUAUAAAUAAUGAUCCAUUAUUUAAUGAUUAAAAGAAUUAGUUACCGUAGGGAUAACAGCAUAAUCCAUUUUGAGAGUUCAUAUCGAAAAAUGGGUUUGUGACCUCGAUGUUGGACUAGAAUAUCCUACAAGAUGCAGAAGUCUUUAAAGGUUGGUCUGUUCGA
RNAcentral lists this ribosomal RNA (463 nucleotides) under Naticarius stercusmuscarum. Its description in RNAcentral is "partial 16S ribosomal RNA". It matches the Rfam family "Bacterial large subunit ribosomal RNA", at positions 1861 to 2584 of the family's 2925-position model. Lineage: Eukaryota; Metazoa; Mollusca; Gastropoda; Littorinimorpha; Naticidae. The record is from RNAcentral.